Molecule: unclassified non-coding RNA, 225 nt
Filed under: Hevea brasiliensis (rubber tree)
Lineage: Eukaryota; Viridiplantae; Streptophyta; Magnoliopsida; Malpighiales; Euphorbiaceae
Source: RNAcentral
UACGUGGUGGUCUAGUUGAAAUGCUCAAUUGGCUUCCCUCCAUUGAAAACCUAACCAGUCUAGCGCUAUGUCAUUCUAAUAUCUUGGAGAAUCCGUCUUCAGUUCUUCAGUUUCUUCCCAAAUUAAAACAUCUUAGACUUUGGGAAGCCUAUAAGGCAAAGCUCAUUGGGAAAGAGUUUUGCGAAUCAGGUGGAUUUCCGAAGCUGGAAACUUUGAUAAUUGCUU